CCCACGGGAGGCUGCAGUGGGGAAUAUUGGACAAUGGGGGGAACCCUGAUCCAGCCAUGCCGCGUGUGUGAAGAAGGCCCUCGGGUUGUAAAGCACUUUCAGUGAGGAAGAACGCCUGGUGGUUAAUACCCAUCAGGAAAGACAUCACUCACAGAAGAAGCACCGGCUAACUCCGUGCCAGCAGCCGCGGUAAUACGGAGGGUGCGAGCGUUAAUCGGAAUUACUGGGCGUAAAGCGCGCGUAGGUGGCUUGAUAAGCCGGUUGUGAAAGCCCCGGGCUCAACCUGGGAACGGCAUCCGGAACUGUCAAGCUAGAGUGCAGGAGAGGAAGGUAGAAUUCCCGGUGUAGCGGUGAAAUGCGUAGAGAUCGGGAGGAAUACCAGUGGCGAAGGCGGCCUUCUGGACUGACACUGACACUGAGGUGCGAAAGCGUGGGUAGCAAACAGGAUUAGAUACCCUGGUAGUC
RNAcentral lists this ribosomal RNA (465 nucleotides) under Vreelandella stevensii. Its description in RNAcentral is "partial 16S ribosomal RNA". It matches the Rfam family "Bacterial small subunit ribosomal RNA", at positions 338 to 795 of the family's 1533-position model. Lineage: Bacteria; Pseudomonadati; Pseudomonadota; Gammaproteobacteria; Oceanospirillales; Halomonadaceae. The record is from RNAcentral.